Rhineura floridana is the source of this 798-nucleotide long non-coding RNA. RefSeq lists it as uncharacterized. Lineage: Eukaryota; Metazoa; Chordata; Lepidosauria; Squamata; Rhineuridae. The transcript has 2 exons. The record is from RefSeq and is a predicted model, not a curated record.
CUGACUCCGCCCCAGGCUUUUUACUCAGCUGAACUCACUUCUAGUGUUGGCGUAUAGCACAGGAGAAAACAUGCUGGGAGAGAAGUGGCAGGCAUCAGCUUCUGCACCCUAAACUCUUGAACUUUUGAAUUAUUGAUUUAUUUAUUUUAUAAAUGAAUUUAUCAUUUACCCGCCAUUUGGCUCUGAAAGUCAAGGUGGCUCACAUAAUCAGUUAAGAACAUUACAUAAUCAAAGCAAUAACAUGUUUUUAAAAGCUUAAAAAAAACAGAGACAGCUAAAAUACCAUUUUACAACAGGGGCAGAGCAGCAUUGGGGGUUAAGACAAAAGUUUGGCAAGACAGAAAAAGAGUUUACCAGAUUGUGGAAAAACUAAUACAUUACAUUACAAGGAAAUGGAUACAAUUUGCUUCCAAGAAGACUGGAUGACAUUACAUCAAAAGAAGUGUCAUCCCACACUCUGAAGUGCAUUUUUCCCUUGUGUUCCUAUCACAUAAAGGCCAAUCUUUUGGAGAAGUGGAUUUGUUGCUCAAGACCUCCAAAUCAACUUUAACUGCACCACCUGAAUUUGCUGAUAUGAGAUUGAAUCUACCCCAAAAUGGCAACAGUCUGGAAGCGCCCUCAUUCUUAUUAACAUAGGGCCAAUACCUGUCAUUACUUUUAAGGAACCUUCACUCUCUUUUUCAUAGACAGAGAUGUGGUGUACAGAUACAGAACCAAUUGUGGUUGGAGAGAAGAAGAAACAAAUAUUGGCGUUCACAAGAUGAAAAACCCAAGAGAAAUAAAUUGGCUUUGUGUGGA